GACGAACGCUGGCGGCGUGCCUAAUACAUGCAAGUCGAACGGAAAGGCCCUGCUCUUGCGGCGUGCUCGUGUGGCGAACGGGUGUGUAACACGUGAGUAACCCGUCCUUGUCUGUGUGAUAACACCAGGAAACUGGGGCUCUUACCGGAUAGGAGCUCCUGCUGCAUGGUGGGGGUUGGAAAGUUUCGGCGGUUGGGGCUGGUCUCGCGGCUUAUCAGCUUGUUAGUGUGGUAGGGGCAUUCCAAGGUUUUGACGGGUAGCCGGCCUGAGAGGGUUGCCGGCGACAAUGGGACUGAGGUAGGGAGCAGUCGCCAAUCGGAGGCAACAGGGGGGAGUAUUACGGAACGAGCGGGAGCGUGAUGAGGCGACGCCGCGUGCGGGAAGACGGCCUUCGAGUUGAGAACAGAUGUCUACUUUGACGAAGCGGUAGUGACGGUAACGGGUAAAAAAGCACCGGCUAACUACGUG
Molecule: ribosomal RNA, 468 nt
Filed under: uncultured bacterium
Lineage: Bacteria
Description: partial 16S ribosomal RNA
Rfam family: Bacterial small subunit ribosomal RNA
Source: RNAcentral